RNAcentral lists this ribosomal RNA (768 nucleotides) under Setobaudinia angustilabiata. Its description in RNAcentral is "partial 16S ribosomal RNA". The stretch from base 343 to 507 matches the Rfam family "Archaeal large subunit ribosomal RNA", at positions 1876 to 2091 of the family's 2987-position model. The record is from RNAcentral. Lineage: Eukaryota; Metazoa; Mollusca; Gastropoda; Stylommatophora; Camaenidae.
ACUAAAAUAGUGGCAUGCUAACUACACGAAACUAUGUGAGUUAAUUUUGGUUAGUUGUCAUGUAGCAGAAUGACAAGGUGAAGGAAAAUUAGGGGUGAUAGGCCUCUCAAACAUAGUGAUAUCUUGAUUCCUCUUAAAUGUAUUAGUACAUUAACGGAUUUAAAGCUAUAAGGUUUUAAAUGAUAAUAAAUGUUAAAUAAUAUUUUGUAAGAUAUAAAAGUCUAUUCACCACCAAUAUUAAAAUAUUAAUUAUAUUAUUGUUAAUUUAAAGAGGACAUAUGGUAAUUUAAUAAAUAUUAAUAAUGUUAACAUAAGUAUUAAGGAGAUGUUAAUAGUGAACUCGGCAUUAAGUUCUCAACUGUUUAUCAAAAACAUAGCUGCGUGUAAUUACACGCAGUGUUUUCUGCUCAAUGAAUAUUAAAUAGCCGCAGUACCUUGACUGUGCAAAGGUAGCGUAAUCAUUUGUCUUUUAAUUGGAGUCGUGUAUGAAUGAAUAUAUGGGGACUUUCUUUACCAUUAGCAACACAUAAAAUUACUUAAUGAGUGAAAAAACUCAUAUUUAAAUAAUAGACGAGAAGACCCUAGAAAUUUAUAGCGAAUUUUUGUUGGGGCAACAUAGUAACAUGAAAUUUACUUUAUGAAUAUGAAAUUUUUUUUGAUAACUUAAAUUACUCUAGGGAUAACAGCAUAAUAUUUACAUGUUUGUGACCUCGAUGUUGGAUUAGGGAGUUAUAGUUUAGAAGACUACUAACCUUGCUCUGUUCGCGC